This 717-nucleotide ribosomal RNA is filed under the name uncultured organism. Its description in RNAcentral is "bacterial SSU rRNA". It matches the Rfam family "Bacterial small subunit ribosomal RNA", at positions 39 to 735 of the family's 1533-position model. The record is from RNAcentral.
GCGGCGUGGCUAAAGCAUGCAAGUCGCACGCGAAAGUUCUUCNGGGAACGAGUAGAGUGGCGAAAGGGCGAGGAAUACAUGGGUAACAUACCCCCGGCACAGGGAUAGCCGCGGGAAACCGCGGGUAAUACCUGAUAUGACCACGGCAUCUUAUGAUGCAGUGGUAAAAGGGUGGGGACCUUCGGGCCUACCGGCCAGGGAGUGGCCCAUGUCCUAUCAGCUUGUUGGUGAGGCAACGGCUCACCAAGGCGACGACGGGUACCGGGGCUGAGAGGCCGAUCCGGCGCAUUGGGACUGAGACACUGCCCAGACUCCUGCGGGAGGCUGCAGCGACGAAUAUUGCACAAUGGGCGCAAGCCUGAUGCAGCGACGCCGCGUGUGGGAGGAAGCCCCUCGGGGUGUAAACCACUGUCAGGGACCACCAAGCGACCCGGGCGAAUAGUCCGGGAAGUUGAGGAAUCCCAGAGGAAGUCACGGCUAACUUCGUGCCAGCAGCCGCGGUAAGACGAAGGUGGCAAGCGUUGUUCGGAAUCACUGGGCUUAAAGAGCACGUAGGCGGAUUGUCAAGCACCUUGUGAAAUCCCUCGGCUUAACCGAGGAAUUGCUUGGUGAACUGGCAGUCUUGAGGCAGGUAGAGGCACACGGAACUCUUGGUGGAGCGGUGGAAUGCGUAGCAUAUCACGAGGAACGCCUGAGGCGAAAGCGGUGUGCUGGGCC